Molecule: non-coding RNA, 1942 nt
Organism: Bubalus bubalis (water buffalo)
Lineage: Eukaryota; Metazoa; Chordata; Mammalia; Artiodactyla; Bovidae
Source: the annotation of a RefSeq genome assembly
GAUGAGACACUUCAAAGUCCUGGGUGAAAUUAAGGUCCUUCCCCUGAACCAGGAUGGAGCAGAGGAAGGACUUGGCUUCCAGGAAACCCCGACGUCUCCACUGUGACUCUGGCCACGUUCAUGGCAGGGCCCAGGAUCCUUUGGUGCAAAGGACUCAGGUUUCCUGGAAAAUACAGUCUCCACCUCUGAGCCCUCAGUGAGAAGGGCUUCUCUCCCAAGAGUGCGGCCAGGACCCAGACUGGGGUGGAGCUGUCCCCCCAGACCCUGAGACCAGCAGGUGCAGGAGCAGCCCCGGGCUGAGGGGAGUGUGCAGGGUGCUCCCCCCCACAACCGCUGUGGCCCUGGGUUGAGCCUCUCUGACCACGGCUGCAAACAGCCUCCACCCCACCCCCAACCCCGGCUCGGGCUGAUUUGUAUCCCCAGCAGCAAGGGGAUAAGACAGACAUGGGAGGAGCCCUGCUUAGCCUGGGUUUGGCGAGCAGACUCGGGGCGCCUCCACCACGGCCUGGACCCCCUGCUCCUAGGCCUCCUAGCUCACUGCACAGGUGAGUCCCAGGGUCCACCCACCCCAGCCCAGAACUCGGGGACGGGCCUGGCCCUGACUCUGAGCUCAGUGGGAUCUGCCCAUGGGGGCAGGGGGCACCUGGAGCUGCUGCAGGGUGGGCUGAAAUCCCCCCUCUGUGCUCACUGCUGGGUCAGCCCUGAGGGCUGUGCCUGCCAGGGAAAGGGGGGAGUCUCCUUUACUCAGAGACUCCAUCCACCAGGCACAUGAGCUGGGGGUGCUGAGACUGAGGGGAGGGUGUCCCUGGGGGCCAGAGAAUCUUUGGCACUUAAUCUGCAUCAGGCAGGGGGCUUCUGUUCCUAGGUUCUCCAUGUCCAGCCGCCUCUCCUUUCCUCUCCUGCAGGCGCUGUGUCCUCCUACGAGCUGACUCAGUCACCCUCGGCAUCAAUGUCCCCAGGACAGACGGCCAGGAUCAUGUGUGGAGGGCACAGCGUUGGAGGUGAAAAUGUUCAGUGGCAUCAGCAGAAGCCGGGCCAGGCCCGUGCGCUGGUCAUCUAUGGUGACGAUAACCGACCCACGGGGGUCCCUGACCGGUUCUCUGGCGCCAACUCGGGGAACACGACCACCCUGACCAUGAGCGGGGCCCAGGCCGAGGACGAGGCUGACUGUUACAGUCAGCUGUGGGACAGCAGCAGUAACGAUCCUCACAGCGACACAGGCAGGCGGGAAGCGAGACGCAAACCUCCUGCCUGGCCCGCACAGCCCAGCCUCCUCGGAGCAGCGGCAGGUCCCACUGAGGCCUGGUGCCCUCUGUGCUCAGGGCCCUCUGUUCAUCCUGCUGAGCAGCGGCAAGUGGGCACUGGGUCCUGAGUCCUGGGGGCAUAUCAGCACCCUUGAGCCAGAGGGUCCCCCAUGCCAGCUGAGUCCUAGGACAGCCAUGUCCCCUGUCCAUGCUCAGCUUCUCUCAGGAGUGGUGGGAAGAUUCCAGAAACAGGCAGGAAACCAUCAGUCGCUGGUGGCCACUGAGUCAGGCGGCCAUUCUGGUCAGCCUACCGGAUCGUCCAGCACUGAGACCCAGGGCCUCCCUGGAGGGCAGGAUGCGGGACUGCAGCCCGGCCCUCACACCGUCACCCCAAACCCUCGAAGAACCGCGCUCCCCAGGACGCCUGCCCCUUCGCAACCUGACAUCCGAACAUUUUCAUCAGAACUUCUGCAAAAUAGUCACACCGCUCCUUUAUGUACAUUCCUCAGAAGCUAAAAAUUAUCAUAACUUGCUAACCACUCUCCUUAAAAAGUCUUCUAUAACGUUCAUCUUUCCUGCUCCUUAGACGUGUUUUCAUUCCACAUCUCUUACUACCUUUGGUCUGCUCGUGUGUUUUCUUUUUUUUUUAAUUUUUUUAUUGGAAUAUAUUUGCAUUACAAUGUUGAAUUGGUUUCUGU